AUGGGGGCCUUCCCGUCGUACGUCCGUGAAGAGUUCUGCCGUGACCGUGUGACCGUCGUCGCUGUCGUGGACCACGACCCGGUGCGCAAGCGUGCUGAUCAUGCUCAGCCCCCGUCCUGUGCUCUGUACGGAACGGCCGUCUCCAUGACUUGCCACACCGCCGUGACCGUCCUCCUGAUCCUUGGCGUCCCGGACGUCGCAAUCGACUCGAUCAUGGGUUGGGAGCCUGGGGGAGCGGCUCGGAUGCGCGCCCGGUACAUGCACGUGACGGGGACCAUGCUCCGGAAAGUCGCGCAACAAGUCGGCGACGCGCUCUGA
RNAcentral lists this transfer RNA (318 nucleotides) under Streptomyces acidiscabies. RNAcentral's name for it is "tRNA-Ser". Lineage: Bacteria; Bacillati; Actinomycetota; Actinomycetes; Kitasatosporales; Streptomycetaceae. The record is from RNAcentral.